This 468-nucleotide ribosomal RNA is filed under the name uncultured bacterium. RNAcentral's name for it is "partial 16S ribosomal RNA". It matches the Rfam family "Bacterial small subunit ribosomal RNA", at positions 28 to 507 of the family's 1533-position model. The record is from RNAcentral.
GACGAACGCUGGCGGCGUGCUUAACACAUGCAAGUCGAACGGAAAGGCCCUGCUUUUGUGGGGUGCUCGAGUGGCGAACGGGUGAGUAACACGUGAGUAACCUGCCCUUGACUUUGGGAUAACUUCAGGAAACUGGGGCUAAUACCGGAUAGGAGCUCCUGCUGCAUGGUGGGGGUUGGAAAGUUUCGGCGGUUGGGGAUGGACUCGCGGCUUAUCAGCUUGUUGGUGGGGUAGUGGCUUACCAAGGCUUUGACGGGUAGCCGGCCUGAGAGGGUGACCGGCCAAAGGGGGCCUGAGGUACGGCCCAGACUCCGACGGGAGGCAGCAGUGGGGAAUAUUGCACAAUGGGCGGAAGCCGGAUGCAGCAACGCCGCGUGCGGGAUGACGGCCUUCGGGUGGUAAACCGCUUUGGCCUGUGACGAAGCGUGAGUGACGGUAAUGGGUAAAGAAGCACCGGCUAACUACGUG